This 5372-nucleotide long non-coding RNA is filed under the name Malus domestica (apple). RNAcentral's name for it is "long non-coding RNA (MDOM_LNC006446)". Lineage: Eukaryota; Viridiplantae; Streptophyta; Magnoliopsida; Rosales; Rosaceae. The record is from RNAcentral.
UGUUAAUUAAAAUGGUCGUUUGGUAUGGAACUUGAAACCUUUUGUUUGUAAAUCUUUAGCUUAAAAAACCUAUUUUAAAUGUUAAAUAUUGAGGAAAAAUGCCAAAAUAGAGCUAAUUCCUUGAUAUAUUAGAUGAUUAUUUCUCAUUACAAGAUGAACAUAUAUAUAGGGAAAGAAAGAAGACAUAAGACCUAACUUGCCUAACUUGCCUAACUUACCUAACUUGCCUAAUUUACAUAAAGAAAGUUGACUAGCCUAAUUCCACUAGCCAUUCAAUACUCAUAGUUGCUUUUAGUUGAUACUCCCCCUCAAGUUGGUGCGUAAAUAUCUCGAAUGCCCAACUUGCUGGGUGAAAGAUGGAAAAUCCUACUUGACACUGCCUUUGUUAAAAUAUCUGCUAGCUGGUCAUCACUCUUCACAUAAGGCAAGUUAAUGGUACCAUCAACCAACCUUUAUUAAGUGCCUAUCCACUUCAACAUGUUUAGUACGAUCAUGUUGAACUGGAUUAUGAGCAAUGCUAAUGGCAGCUUUGUUAUCACAAUAAAGUUUUGAUGGCUUUGCAGAAUUAAAACCUAAUUCUCUCAACAAAGUCCUGAGCCAUAACAAUUCUUGCACACCAUGUGCCAUACCUCUAAAUUCAGCUUCGGCACUGGAUCUAGCCACUACAUGUUGCUUCUUACUGCGCCAAGUAACUAGAUUUCCUCCAACAAAUGUAAAGUAUCCAGAAGUCGAUCUGCGAUCAGUUACUGACCCAGCCCAAUCUGCAUCAGUGUACCCUUCAACUUCUUGAUGUCCAUGAUUGGAAAACAUCAAGCCUUUUCCAGGGGCAGACUUCAAAUACCUGAGAAUGCGUUGUACAUCAUCCAUGUGGGCUUCACUUGGCCUGUGCAUAAAUUGACUCACUACACUUACAGCAUAGGCUAUGUCAGGUCGUGUAUGAGACAAAUAAAUCAACCUCCCAACUAAUCUUUGGUACCUUUCCUUGUUAGCCGGAACUUGAUCAUGAUAGUCUCCCAAUCUAUGGUUUUGCUCAAUUGGUGUGUCUGCAGGUUUACAAGCUAACAUCCCAGUCUCAGUUAAUAAGUCUAUAACAUAUUUCUUUUGAGAAAGAAAAAUGCCAUGCUUUGAUCUUGCAACUUCAAUACCCAAGAAAUAUUUCAGAGUACCCAAGUCCUUCAUUUCAAAUUCCUUGGCUAGAUACUUUUGAAGUUUUUGAAUUUCCUCGACAUCAUUACCUGUAACCACCAUAUCAUCCACAUAAACAAUUAAGGCAGUAAGUUUACCUCUAUCAUGCUUAAGAAAUAGGGUAUGGUCAGCUUGAGUUUGCUUGAACCCAUAACUUCUUAUUGAUUGAGCGAACCUGCCAAACCAUGCCCUUGGUGAUUGUUUCAAUCCAUACAAGGACUUUCUUAACCUGCAUACUUUGCCAAUAUCGCAAGUGGUAGUGAAUCCUGGAGGAAGAUCCAUGUAUACCUCUUCAUCCAAGUCUCCAUGUAAAAAUGCAUUUUUACAUCAAACUGUCGUAGAGGCCACCCUAGAUUUGCUGCCAAUGACAUAAGAACCCUGAUAGUGUUGAUCUUUGCUACCGGAGCAAAUGUCUCCUGAUAAUCAAUGUCAUAGGUUUGAGGAUAACCUUUGGCUACCAGUCUAGCCUUGUAUCUUUCCACUGAACCAUCAGCUUUAUGCUUUACUGUGAACACCCAUCUACACCCAACAGGUUUCUUGCCUUCAGGAAGUGCAACCAGUUCCCAAGUGGAGUUUUUUCGAAGUGCUUCCAUCUCUUCAAUCAUAGCCUUUUUCCAUUUUGGAUCUUUAAGAGCAUCCUGUAACUUAUUAGGAACUGAGACUGAUGACAAUUGGUUUGCAAAAGAUAUAUAAGAGUCUGACAAGCGAUGAGAUGAAACAAAAUUAGAUAUAGGAUAUUGAAUACCCUUUGUAGAAAAAUGACCAUAACGAACAGGGGGUAAAAGGUCGUACCCAGUGCACAAGGCUCCCGCUUUACGCAGGGUCUGGGAGAGGUGAAUGUCGGUUAGCCUUACCCCCAUUUUAUGGAGAGGCUGCUCCCAAGUCUCGAACCCGAGACCUACCGUUCAUGGGCGAAGGCACUUGCCAUCACACCAAGUGCGACCUCUUAUAACGAACAGGGGGUAUCCCUCGAUUUUCUCGAAUAGGAUAAGGAGAAUCCCGAGACUCAUGAUGUGGUUCAUUUGAAUCAUUUGGAUCAUCACUUAAUGAAAUCUCAUGAUUGGACUCAUCAAAUAUAGUAGGCUGAAGAGAAGGAGAAUGAGUGGUUACCUCAGGAUAAUUCGUACUAUUAGCAGCUGAUUGGUCAGAGAGUUGGUCAAUGUGGGGAUCCGUCUGUGGGUGGUCUAUUUCAUCAUCCCUUUUUUCUUUAUCUCCCUUUUUUCUUGUCCUCUCAUACACCUUCAAUAUUUUUUCACCUUGUGCCUCAUCAUUAGGCAAAUUUGCACCAUCACCGACAUCUGACAAGUGUUCAUCUGAAAAAUGCAUACCACCAAUGUCAAGCGGCAACUUCUUUUCCUCCUUACUCCAUAUCUCCCCCUGAAGAGAAGUGACCAAAUCUUCUUUUGAAAAAAAUGCCUCGUUUUCCCUAAAGGUAACAUCCAUAGAGACAAAAAAUUUCCCAGUGGGAGGAUAGUAACAUCGAUACCCUUUCUGAGUAGCAGAAUAGCCAAUAAACACACAUUUGAUGGCUCUAGGAUCCAACUUAUCACGAUUUUGCAUGGGUACGUGAACGUAGUAGACACAACCAAACACUUUUGGAGGAAUAUGAAGGAGUGAAGGAAGAGAAUGAUAUUGGGAAAGGGUCUGGAUAGGUGUUUGAAAUUGGAGAACACGUGAUGGCAUGCGAUUGAUAAGAAAAACAGCUGUGUGAAUGGCAUCACCCCAAAAACGUUUAAGAACGUGCAUAGCAAAACAUAAAGAGCGAGCCACAUCCAAGAGAUGACGAUUUUUACGUUCUGCUAUACCGUUCCGUUGAGGAGUAUGUGGACAAGAUGUUUGAUGAAUGAUACCGUGUUGUUGAAAAAAUGUUCCAAGUCCAUAAUUCAAAUAUUCUUUCCCAUUAUCAGAUCAAACAACUUAAAUUUUAGCAUGAAAUUGGGUUUGAAUCAUUUGAUGAAAGAUUGGAAAAAUAGACAUAACCUCACUAUUAUUUUUUAGUAAGUAUACCCAAGAAACUCGAGUGCAGUCAUCAAUGAGAGACAAAGUAUUUAGCACCAGUAUAAGUAGGAAUAUGAAAUGGUCCCCAAACAUCAGAAUGAAUAAGAGAGAAAGGAGCAUUACUUUUAUGGGAACUUAAAGGAAAUGAGACACGAUGAUUUUUAGAAAGAAUGCAAGUUUCACAAUGGAAAUCAGAAACCUUGACUUUAGAAAAUAAAGAAGGGAAUAGAUAUUGCAGGUACUGAAAGGAAGGGUGUCCCAAUCUUUUGUGCCAUAACCAAAUUUUUUCAGAAGCUUCAAAUUGUUUGGCCUCCGCUUGACAACUGUAACUUGUCUUCUCAAAAUCUGGUGGUAAGUCCAAGUAGUAUAGACCUCCCCUCUCUCUACCAUGACCAAUCAAUGCUUUCGUUCGAAUAUUCUGAAACCAACAAUGGGUAGGAGAAAAGAUGGCAAGACAGUUUAGUUGAUUUGUAAGUUUACCAAUGGAAAGCAAAUUGUGAGAAAGAUUAGGAACAUGUAAAACAUAUGAGAGAGAUAAGCCUGGUGUUAAUGAGAUGGAGCCUGCUCCAAGCACUGGAGUAGAAAUACCAUUAGCAACUUUAACGGUAUUUAAAGGUGGAGUAGUGUGAGAAACAAACCAUGUAGAGUUAUUGGUCAUGUGGUCAGAAGCCCCUGAAUCAAUGAUCCAAGGUUUAUUGGGAGGAACAAUUGUAGUGUUCAAGGCAAAACCAAAGUUACCUGCAUCGACUAAGGAAGUAGAAGCAGUAGUAGGAGAAACUAAGUGAGCAGAUUGAUCCACCCGAGGUAUGGAAGGCGUUGGUGUCAGGUGUGCUUGUGAUCCACCAAUGCCUUUCUUUUGAUUUUCCUUCUUUUGAACCCACCAAUCAGGAUAUCCAUGCAGCUUGAAGCAAGUGUCUCUAGUAUGCUUAUCCUUGUCACAAUAAGUACACUUCCUUGUAUCAGUAGUUUUGGGUCCACCUAAUCGAGAAUUGGAGACUCCACGGGGAAAUCGAGACGGAGCAACUACCAUGGCGGAUCCUUCCACUUGUGGGCCAACCAACAUAAUGGUUUGCCUACUUGCUUCAGCAUUCACAAGAGCAUAAGCAGCACGAACAGAAUGUAGAGUUGUUUGAGUCAAAACUUGACUGCGAACAUGAUCUAAAUCAGGAUCAAGACCAGCUAGAAAAUCAUACAAUCUUUCUUCCGAAAUUUCUGUCUCUCGGGUAGCAAUAUCAUCAGCGCACUUCAAUUUUCCAGGACUCAAGAAAUCAAUUUCUUGCCAUGUUUGCUGAAGUUUACCAUAAUAUGCAGAUAAAGGUUCUCCAUUUUGGCGAGUUGCCAGUGCUUGACGGCGAAGUUCGUAUAACUUUGAUGCAUCUUUUUCAAUUGAGUAAGUUUGGGUAACAGCAUCCCAAACAUCUUUUGCAGUAGAGAGUCGGAGAAAAAUGGCCCGUACAUCUCUGGUCAUGGAGUUGAGUAACCAAGAUUGAACCAUGGCAUUCUCUUCCUCCCAUAUAGCAUACAAGCAUCAGCUUCUACUGGUGCCACUUUUGUUCCACUGACAGAAGACCAUUUACCUCUGCCAGUGAUGUAGAUGCGAACACUUUGGGACCAUGAGGAAUGGUUGGACCCAUCCAACUUGUCUGGGGUGAUAUGUAGAGACAUAUCACUUUGAGUAACAGUAGCUGAAAAGUAGCUGAAACAGUGGUCUUGGAGUCACCCAUUAUUACUGCCUCAGAGGUUAUGGGUAAAUUUGUUGGGUGAUUCCAACGGGUAUGGCUUAUGGGGUAUUGGGUAGUAUAUUUUUUUUUUGUGUGGAAAGAUUUCUGGGUUUUGCAGAGAUACUGCAAAUGGGAAGAAUAUGGGAAAAGAUGCAGCGGAAUAUGUAUGGCUAACAAGCUGGAUAUGGGUAAUAAUGUUGGUAGAUAUGGCCAAAUGAAAAAAGAGUAAGAUUGGAUUGGUAUGAAAGUAGAAGACCUGCAGAAUAGCAGGUCUUAUUGGGUAGAUGGCAGUAGUGCCAGUAAGUGAAUCAGAAUAGAAACUCUUUUUGGAUCAGAAUUGCUCUGAUACCAUGCCAAAAUAGAGCUAAUUCCUUGAUAUAUUAGAUGAUUAUUUCUCAUUACAAGAUGAACAUAUAUAUAGGGAAAGAAAGAAAACAUAAGACCUAACUUUGCCUAACUUGCCUAACU